UUCACGGAUGCAAUUUGUGAU
Molecule: non-coding RNA, 21 nt
Organism: Caenorhabditis elegans
Lineage: Eukaryota; Metazoa; Nematoda; Chromadorea; Rhabditida; Rhabditidae
Source: Ensembl